RNAcentral lists this ribosomal RNA (91 nucleotides) under uncultured bacterium. Its description in RNAcentral is "partial 16S ribosomal RNA". The record is from RNAcentral.
UUAAAGCACUUUAGAUUGGGGAGAAGAUGUAUUGUUUAAGAGAUGGUACAUUUGACGGUACCAAUAGAAUAAGCACCGGCUAACUCUGUGC